This 23-nucleotide non-coding RNA is filed under the name Cricetulus griseus (Chinese hamster). Lineage: Eukaryota; Metazoa; Chordata; Mammalia; Rodentia; Cricetidae. The record is from RNAcentral.
CGAGCAGGCAUUGUGGAGAGAAU